Long non-coding RNA from Melanotaenia boesemani (Boeseman's rainbowfish), 494 nucleotides. RefSeq lists it as uncharacterized. The transcript is spliced from 3 exons. NCBI's taxonomy places the organism in Eukaryota, Metazoa, Chordata, Actinopteri, Atheriniformes, Melanotaeniidae. The record is from RefSeq and is a predicted model, not a curated record.
CGGAGCUGGAAUUUCUUAGAGGAAGUAGCCGGUCAGGCAGAACAGCUGACAGCAUCCACCGCUGAUCUAUACUGUUCCUCGUCCUUCCAGGGAUCAGCAUGAAUAAAGCCUUUCAUGAAGCGGAGCAUGGCUGAAUUUCUCCCGUGUGUAACACAUGGAGUUCAAAGCUUCACACACCUGGAAACAGCAGCAGCGUUAUGUCACUGCUGCAGGUUUGUGAUGAAGUGGAGUGAAAACAUCCAGCUUUGGGAAAGAAGUGACAAAGAUUUGACUGCGUCUGCAAAAAGUGCUUCACCUGCCUCCAGAGAAAUCUCUGCCAUACCAGCUGUACCUGGAGGCCAGAGAGGAGGCUCUCGUUGAAGAGUUACCAGGAGUUAACAGGUAUUGACUCUUUAUAUUUCUCCCAUACGUCUAUAAGGAGAACAUGAACCUUUUUAUCCCUCUUGGAGACUCUGAUGCAGACAUGUGGUGUUUAACUGAACCAAACACACACA